Molecule: ribosomal RNA, 364 nt
Filed under: uncultured bacterium
Lineage: Bacteria
Description: partial 16S ribosomal RNA
Rfam family: Bacterial small subunit ribosomal RNA
Source: RNAcentral
CCUACGGGAGGCUGCAGUGAGGAAUAUUGGUCAAUGGCCGGAAGGCUGAACCAGCCAUGCCGCGUGAAGGUCAGUGCCCUUUGGGCGUUAAACUUCUUUUGUCCGGGAGCAAUAAUGGUCACGUGUGGCCAGACGAGAGUACCGUACGAAUAAGCAUCGGCUAACUCCGUGCCAGCAGCCGCGGGAAGACGGGGGGUGCAAGCGUUAUCCGGAUUUAUUGGGUUUAAAGGGUGCGUAGGCUGUGAGGUAAGUCAGCGGGGAAAUGCCCCCGCUCAACGGGGUGAAGUGCCAUUGAUACUGCCUUGCUGGAAUGCGGAUGCGGUGGGAGGAAUGUGUGGUGUAGCGGUGAAAGGCAUAGAUAUCA